RNAcentral lists this ribosomal RNA (510 nucleotides) under uncultured bacterium. RNAcentral's name for it is "partial 16S ribosomal RNA". It matches the Rfam family "Bacterial small subunit ribosomal RNA", at positions 28 to 507 of the family's 1533-position model. The record is from RNAcentral.
GACGAACGCUGGCGGCGUGCUUAACACAUGCAAGUCGAACGAAGAGCGAUGGAAGCUUGCUUCUAUCAAUCUUAGUGGCGAACGGGUGAGUAACGCGUAAUCAACCUGCCCUUCAGAGGGGGACAACAGUUGGAAACGACUGCUAAUACCGCAUACGAUCUAAUCUCGGCAUCGAGGAUAGAUGAAAGGUGGCCUCUACAUGUAAGCUAUCACUGAAGGAGGGGAUUGCGUCUGAUUAGCUAGUUGGAGGGGUAACGGCCCACCAAGGCGAUGAUCAGUAGCCGGGCUGAGGGGAUGAACGGCCACAUUGGGACUGAGACACGGCCCAGACUCCUACGGGAGGCAGCAGUGGGGAAUCUUCCGCAAUGGACGAAAGGCUGACGGAGCAACGCCGCGUGAGGGAUGACGGCCUUCGGGUUGUAAAGCUCUGUUAAUCGGGACGAAAGGCCUUCUUGCGAAUAGUGAGAAGGAUUGACGGUACCGGAAGAGAAAGCCACGGCUAACUACGUG